CUCAGGAGGUGGAGGUUGCAGUGAGCCGAGGUCACGCCACUGCACUCUAGCCUGGGCA
RNAcentral lists this non-coding RNA (58 nucleotides) under Homo sapiens (human). Lineage: Eukaryota; Metazoa; Chordata; Mammalia; Primates; Hominidae. The record is from RNAcentral.